UUUUAUCAAGGAAGAAGAUCUGACGGUACUUGAUGAAUAAGCCACGGCUAAUUCCGUGCCAGCAGCCGCGGUAAUACGGGAGUGGCAAGCGUUAUCCGGAAUUAUUGGGCGUAAAGCGUCCGCAGGCGGUCUUUUAAGUCUGUCGUCAAAGCGUGGAGCUUAACUCCAUUACUGCGAUGGAAACUGGGAGACUAGAGUGUGGUAGGGGCAGAGGGAAUUCCCGGUGUAGCGGUGAAAUGCGUAGAUAUCGGGAAGAACACCAGUGGCGAAGGCGCUCUGCUGGGCCAUAACUGACGCUCAUGGACGAAAGCCAGGGGAGCGAAAGGGAUUAGAUACCCCUGUAGUCCUGGCCGUAAACGAUGAACACUAGGUGUCGGGGGAAUCGACCCCCUCGGUGUCGUAGCCAACGCGUUAAGUGUUCCGCCUGGGGAGUACGCACGCAAGUGUGAAACUCAAAGGAAUUGACGGGGGCCCGCACAAGCGGUGGAGUAUGUGGUUUAAUUCGAUGCAACGCGAAGAACCUUACCAGGGUUUGACAUCCUGCGAAUCUCUUGGAAACGAGAGAGUGCCUUCGGGAACGCAGUGACAGGUGGUGCAUGGCUGUCGUCAGCUCGUGUCGUGAGAUGUUGGGUUAAGUCCCGCAACGAGCGCAACCCACGUCGUUAGUUGCCAGCAUUUAGUUGGGCACUCUAGCGAGACCGCCGGUGAUAAACCGGAGGAAGGUGUGGAUGACGUCAAGUCAUCAUGCCCCUUACAUCCUGGGCUACACACGUACUACAAUGCUACGGACAAAGGGCAGCAAGCUCGCGAGAGUUAGCAAAUCCCAUAAACCGUGGCUCAGUUCAGAUCGUAGGCUGCAACUCGCCUACGUGAAGGAGGAAUCGCUAGUAAUCGCAGGUCAGCAUACUGCGGUGAAUACGUUCCCGGGCCUUGUACACACCGCCCGUCACACCAUGGA
Molecule: ribosomal RNA, 958 nt
Filed under: uncultured cyanobacterium
Lineage: Bacteria; Bacillati; Cyanobacteriota
Description: bacterial SSU rRNA
Rfam family: Bacterial small subunit ribosomal RNA
Source: RNAcentral